RNAcentral lists this ribosomal RNA (252 nucleotides) under uncultured bacterium. RNAcentral describes it as "partial 16S ribosomal RNA". It matches the Rfam family "Bacterial small subunit ribosomal RNA", at positions 524 to 776 of the family's 1533-position model. The record is from RNAcentral.
CACGUAGGGCGCAAGCGUUGUCCGGAAUUAUUGGGCGUAAAGAGCUCGUAGGCGGUCUGUUGCGUCCGCUGUGAAAACUCGGGGCUUAACCCCGAGCCUGCAGUGGAUACGGGCAGACUAGAGGUAGGUAGGGGAGAAUGGAAUUCCCGGUGUAGCGGUGAAAUGCGCAGAUAUCGGGAGGAACACCGGUGGCGAAGGCGGUUCUCUGGGCCUACCUGACGCUGAGGAGCGAAAGCGUGGGGAGCGAACAGG